CUACCUGCACAACGUGGAGAGU
Molecule: microRNA, 22 nt
Filed under: Heligmosomoides polygyrus
Lineage: Eukaryota; Metazoa; Nematoda; Chromadorea; Rhabditida; Heligmosomidae
Description: hpo-miR-10074-3p
Source: miRBase by way of RNAcentral